UCUUGGGUUGUAAACCUCUUUUCUCAGGGAAGAAGCUCUGACGGUACCUGAGGAAUCAGCCUCGGCUAACUCCGUGCCAGCAGCCGCGGUAAUACGGAGGAGGCAAGCGUUAUCCGGAAUUAUUGGGCGUAAAGCGUCCGCAGGUGGCGAUUCAAGUCUGCUGUCAAAGCACGGGGCUUAACUCCGUUAAGGCAGUGGAAACUGAAUAGCUAGAGUGCCGUAGGGGUAGAGGGAAUUCCCGGUGUAGCGGUGAAAUGCGUAGAGAUCGGGAAGAACAUCGGUGGCGAAAGCGCUCUACUGGACGGCAACUGACACUCAGGGACGAAAGCUAGGGGAGCGAAUGGGAUUAGAUACCCCAGUAGUCCUAGCUGUAAACGAUGGAUACUAGGUGUAGCUUGUAUCGACCCGAGCUGUGCCGAAGCUAACGCGUUAAGUAUCCCGCCUGGGGAGUACGCACGCAAGCGUGAAACUCAAAGGAAUUGACGGGGGCCCGCACAAGCGGUGGAGUAUGUGGUUUAAUUCGAUGCAACGCGAAGAACCUUACCAGGGCUUGACAUGUCCGGAAUCCCGGUGAAAGCUGGGAGUGCCUUCGGGAGCCGGAACACAGGUGGUGCAUGGCUGUCGUCAGCUCGUGUUGUGAGAUGUUGGGUUAAGUCCCGCAACGAGCGCAACCCUCGUCUUUAGUUGCCAGCAAUAAGUUGGGCAAUUUUGAGAGGCUUCCCGUUACCAAACCGAAGAAAGUUGGGAAUGACGUCAAGUCAGAAUGCCCCUUACGUUCUGGGCGACACACGUACUACAAUGGUCGGGACAGAGGGCAGCGAACCUGCGAAGGCAAGCUAAUCCCAGCAAACUCGGCCUCAGUUCAGAUCGCAGGCUGCAACUCGCCUGCGUGAAGGAGGAAUCGCUAGUAAUCGCCGGUCAGAAUACGGCGGUGAUCCGUUCCCGGGCAUUGUACACACCGCCCGUCACACCAUGGAAGCUGGCCACGCCCGAAGUCGUUACCCUA
RNAcentral lists this ribosomal RNA (1006 nucleotides) under uncultured organism. Its description in RNAcentral is "bacterial SSU rRNA". It matches the Rfam family "Bacterial small subunit ribosomal RNA", at positions 416 to 1437 of the family's 1533-position model. The record is from RNAcentral.